RNAcentral lists this ribosomal RNA (306 nucleotides) under cf. Polychaeta sp. DH-2009. Its description in RNAcentral is "SSU rRNA". It matches the Rfam family "Eukaryotic small subunit ribosomal RNA", at positions 1313 to 1642 of the family's 1831-position model. The record is from RNAcentral. Lineage: Eukaryota; Metazoa; Annelida; Polychaeta.
GUUUGGUUAAUUCCGAUAACGAACGAGACUUUAGCCUAUUAAAUAGUUCGUCGAUUGUCUUCUGUCGGCGCUAACUUUUUAGAGGGACAAGUGGCGUUUAGCCACCCGAGAUUGAGCAAUAACAGGUUUGUGAUGCCCUUAGAUGUUCGGGGCCGCACGCGCGCUACACUGAAGGAAUCAGCGUGUUUAACCUAGUCCGACAGGACCGGGAAACCCGUUGAACCUCCUUCGUGCUAGGGAUUGGGGCUUGUAAUUGUUCCCCAUGAACGAGGAAUUCCCAGUAAGCGCGAGUCAUAAGCUCGCGUU